Molecule: small nuclear RNA, 133 nt
Filed under: Erinaceus europaeus (western European hedgehog)
Lineage: Eukaryota; Metazoa; Chordata; Mammalia; Eulipotyphla; Erinaceidae
Description: U2 spliceosomal RNA
Rfam family: U2 spliceosomal RNA
About the family: U2 is a small nuclear RNA (snRNA) component of the spliceosome (involved in pre-mRNA splicing). Complementary binding between U2 snRNA (in an area lying towards the 5' end but 3' to hairpin I) and the branchpoint sequence (BPS) of the intron results the bulging out of an unpaired adenosine, on the BPS, which initiates a nucleophilic attack at the intronic 5' splice site, thus starting the first of two transesterification reactions that mediate splicing.
Source: Rfam by way of RNAcentral
AUCACUUCUCGGCCUUUUGGCUAAGAUCAAGUGUAGUAUCUUAAAAACUUAGAUGAAAUAAUGUAUAUGCAGUAGGUGGCCCAAAACAUGUUUUUGAGAAUUGGCUUUUUAGUAACACAAAAGAAAACGAUCC